RNAcentral lists this ribosomal RNA (261 nucleotides) under uncultured bacterium. RNAcentral's name for it is "partial 16S ribosomal RNA". It matches the Rfam family "Bacterial small subunit ribosomal RNA", at positions 524 to 784 of the family's 1533-position model. The record is from RNAcentral.
UACGAAGGGUGCAAGCGUUGUUCGGAAUAACUGGGCGUAAAGGGUGCGUAGGCGGUUUCAUAUGUCUGUUGUGAAAGACCUGGGCUUAACCUAGGGAGAGCAAGAGAAACGGUGAGACUAGAGUAUGGAAGGGGAGAACGGAAUUGCGUGUGGAGAGGUGAAAUUCGUAGAGACACGCAGGAACACCGGUGGUGAAGACGGUUCUCUGGGACAUAACUGACGCUGAGGCACGAGAGCGUGGGGAGCAAACAGGAUUAGAAA